RNAcentral lists this ribosomal RNA (497 nucleotides) under uncultured bacterium. Its description in RNAcentral is "partial 16S ribosomal RNA". It matches the Rfam family "Bacterial small subunit ribosomal RNA", at positions 28 to 507 of the family's 1533-position model. The record is from RNAcentral.
GAUGAACGCUGGCGGCGUGCCUAAUACAUGCAAGUCGAGCGAACAGACGAGGAGCUUGCUCCUCUGACGUUAGCGGCGGACGGGUGAGUAACACGUGGAUAACCUACCUAUAAGACUGGGAUAACUUCGGGAAACCGGAGCUAAUACCGGAUAAUAUAUUGAACCGCAUGGUUCAAUAGUGAAAGACGGUGUUGCUGUCACGUAUAGAUGGAUCCGCGCCGCAUUAGCUAGUUGGUAAGGUAACGGCUUACCACGGCAACGAUGCGUAGCCGACCUGAGAGGGUGAUAGGCCACACUGGAACUGAGACACGGCCCAGACUCCUACGGGAGGCAGCAGUAGGCAAUCUUCCGCAAUGGGCGAAAGCCUGACGGAGCAACGCCGCGUGAGUGAUGAAGGUCUUCGGAUCGUAAAACUCUGUUAUUAGGGAAGAACAAAUGUGUAAGUAACUAUGCACGUCUUGACGGUACCUAAUCAGAAAGCCACGGCUAACUACGUG